This 1496-nucleotide ribosomal RNA is filed under the name Pseudomonas sp. a186. RNAcentral describes it as "partial 16S ribosomal RNA". It matches the Rfam family "Bacterial small subunit ribosomal RNA". The record is from RNAcentral. Lineage: Bacteria; Pseudomonadati; Pseudomonadota; Gammaproteobacteria; Pseudomonadales; Pseudomonadaceae.
CGGUCUGGGCUGCAUGACUACACAUGCAAGUCGAGCGGUAGAGCAGAAGCUUGCUUCUCUUGAGAGCGGCGGACGGGUGAGUGAUGCCUAUGAAUCUGCCUGGUCCUGGGGGAUGGCGUUCGGAAACGGACGCUAAUGCCGCAUACGUCCUACGGGAGAAAGCGAGGGACCUUCAGGCCUUGCCCUAUCACAUGAGCCUAAGUCGGAUUAGCAAGUUGGUGAGGUAAUGGCUCACCCACGCGACGAUCCCUAACUGGUCUGCUAGAUGGCAUGUAUGUACGUCGGCGACGUCAGUAAGUGAGACACAGUCCAGACUCCUUAUCGUGAGGGAGGAGAUGGGGAAUAUUGGACAAUGGGCGAAAGCCUGAUCCAGCCAUGCCCCGUGUGUGAAUAAGGUCUUAGGAUUGUAAAGCACUUUCACUUGGGAGGAAGGGGCUAUUGCCUAAUACGUGAUUGUUUUGACGUUACCGACACACACAGGCACCGGCUAACUCUCCUCCCAGCACCCGCGGUAAUACGGUGGGUGUUUGUUUUUAAUCUGAAUUACUGCAACGUAAACCUCGCGUAUGUGGUUAGCCCAGUCAUAUAUAUCAUCCCCGGGCUCCACCGUCGGAACUUCCACUCAAAACUGACUAAAUUGAGUUUGGUAGAGGGGGGGUAGAAUUCCCUGUGCAGCGGUGAAAUGCGUAGAUAUAUAAAGGAACACGAGUGGCGAAGGCGGAGCGCCUGGACUGAUACUGACACUGACGUGCGAAAGCGUGGGCGAGCAAACAAGAUUAGAUACCCUGGUAGUCCACGCCGUAAAUGAUGUCAACUAGCUGUUGGGAGCCUUGAGCUCUUCGCCCCCCCAGUUAACGCAUUAAGUUGACCGCCUGGGGAGUAGAGUGCCGCAAGGUUAAAACUCAAAUGAAUUGACGGGGGCCCGCACAAGCGGUGGAGCAUGUGGUUUUAAUUCUAUAUCAAUUCGAAGAACCUUACCUUCUCUUGACAUCCAAUGAACUUUCUAGAGAUAGAAAUGGGUGCCCGUCGUCGUACAGUGAGAACAAGAACAGCAGCAGCAUUCGUUGGCUCCUGUCGUGAAAUGUAGAGGUUAAGUCCCGUAACGAGCGCAACCCUUGUCCUUAGUCUACCAGCACGUAAUGGUGGGCACUCUAGAGGAGACUGACAGGUCACAACCCCAGCAGGUAAGAUGAGAGAUGACGUCAAGUCAUCAUGGCCCUUACGGCCUGGGCAGUACACACGUGCUACAAUGGUCGGUACAGAGGGUUGCCAAGCCGCGAGGUGGAGCUAAUCCCAGAAAACCGAUCGUAGUCCGGAUCGCAGUCUGCAACUCGACUGCGUGAAGUCGGAAUCGCUAGUAAUCGCGAAUCAGAAUGUCGCGGUAAUACGUUCCCGGGCCUUGUACACACCGCCCGUCACACCAUGGGAGUGGGUUGUACCAGAAGUAGUUAGUCUUAACCUUCGGGGGACUCUCGACAACCGUUGAUGCCGCAAUC